CGGAGAAAAAAUUGCACCCUUUUUUAUAAACAAUCCAUUUGCUGAGCCUCAAAUUCUUAAAAACUCGUGCUGACUCUGACUUGUUGGUAUAUAUUUCAUAAACAUUUCAUCCUCAAUAUUCUUAUAAAAUUUGUUUAUAAAAAUUCCUGUUAACAAACCAGCGAUAAUUCAUGCUAAAAGAUUUUGCAGAGGCAAAAAUUUUCCUGCAGUAACCAUGGAAGCCUUCUACAAGGGCGAGACUUUUUCAAAGGUCAUUUGCUUUAGUGCUGCACCUUACAAUGGGAAGUAUCAUCCACAACAACAAGUUUUUUGCAGCACAUUUCCGGAGUUUGUAAAACGCAGAUGUCCACUCGCACUUCCGCGUUCACUGGAUUUGGCAUAUCGAACGUAAUCAAAUGAUAACGAUCAAUUUCCAACAAUGAAGACAAACGAAAGACUUGUUUUUUGAGAAUGGCAUGUCAACAGCAUGGGUCCUCCUAUAUUUGAGACAGAGGCACUACUCGUACCUAAACAGUGCAUCGAUGUUAACCUACGAAGCUCCCCAAAGGCGACGUCAUCUGGAUCAGGAAUCCUGCCGAAAAAGAAAUGUAAACAAAAUGCAGAAAAAAACAAACUACAUUAAAAAUAUUGUCGUUAACAAUAUUUCAGUCACUAAAUAGUUUUGAAAGGAUCUUGGGAACAAUGCCUAAUGACUGAAAGUAUUGACAAAUACAUUAGGCAAGGCUACUCUAUAAAUUCAGAGUUUCUCCUACAAGGAGGCAGAAUGAUUGAAGCCAGUCAGUUUAUCGACAAUGUCAUAAUAAAUAGGAAAAUUAUCUACAAGCCAAUAGACGCGGGAAAAUGAGAGUAUGUAUUCAACUCCUACCUCAGCUCUGGGUAUACAUUAUCCAAAUACCAUUUGAAGUUUUUACAUUUCAGCUUUCUACGUAGCUCUCUCCUUUCUUCAACACUAAAAUUUUAAAAAACAAAACUUACGGCCCUGCUCAUUUAAAAACCGCCAGUCAAUAAGCAGUACUCUUUU
This is a long non-coding RNA of Rhopilema esculentum, 1021 nucleotides long. RefSeq lists it as uncharacterized. Lineage: Eukaryota; Metazoa; Cnidaria; Scyphozoa; Rhizostomeae; Rhizostomatidae. The record is from RefSeq and is a predicted model, not a curated record.